Long non-coding RNA from Triticum aestivum (bread wheat), 4048 nucleotides. RefSeq lists it as uncharacterized. The record is from RefSeq and is a predicted model, not a curated record. The transcript is spliced from 4 exons. NCBI's taxonomy places the organism in Eukaryota, Viridiplantae, Streptophyta, Magnoliopsida, Poales, Poaceae.
CUCCUCCUCUCUCCCUCCCUCCCGCAGCCGCCUCCCUCCCUCCCGCGCGCCUCCUCUCCUCCCACCCACAUCGCCGCCGCCGCCACCCCCUCCUCGAACCGCGAUGAGCAGCAGCGGAGGGAGGACGAGGAGCACGACUGCGGCGGCAGCGGGGAGGAGCAGCAGCAGGGCAAGGCGGCGCAACAGCAACCCCGACUAACUGCCGCCCCGGAAUUUCAUGUCCGCCGCGCGUGCUGAGUGCCGACGCCCCCCCGCCGAACCCUUCCCGAAACCAAGCACCCGCCGCGCCGGAAAAGCGGCUCCCCUACCCUCAUCCGGCGGCGGAGGUGCAGUGCGCCGUCUGAGGCUCUCCGGCCGCCGGCUGCGGGGGCGCGGACAUGGCGGGGGCUGCGCGGGGCCGGGGCGCGAUGCUGCUGCUACUCGUCGCGUUCGUGCUCGCGCCCCUCGUGCUCUACGGCCACUUCCCCGUCUCGCCCCUCCCAGACUCCAUCGUGGCCAAAGGCGCGUUCGAUCGGGGGGCGGGUCCGGCUCCAAUCUGGUGUGGCCGCAUAUGGCCGCGUCCGAGGUUUCUCUCGCCAAAGGGGAGCCCGCUUUUCCUCCCCCCUUUCGUUUUGCUUGCCUAAUCUCGGGAAGGCAUGAGUUUCACUGGCUGUAGAUUAGAUCGUGAAAAUGGUAGAGAUAGAUUGAGUCUGUUUUCACCUCAGUACGAACAAGUAAACCAACGUCAUGCGCAUUUUUUGGUGAAGCAGUCGGCAGUUGAGUCAUCCUUCGGCCACCGCAUCUGAUUUUUUGUUGGAACUCUGUGUGAAUUGCUUUUUGUAGAUUUGACGAUUGAGAGGCUAGGGGAGCACAAGAACCGGGUGCUCUCGGCGACUGACAACUGGCAAGCAGUUGAGGUAGCCAGGAGCCAUCCAUCAGAAAAGAAAAUUGAUACGUGGGAGGACCCUGGGUGGCGGGAUGCCCAUCAGGUGGUUGCUGUGGGAAAUGACAGUGCUCAGUCGACACAGGAUGACAUGAUAAAGGAAGUUGUUAGCACCGACAGACGAGCAGAUGGCUUUCGUGAUCCCGGCGAUAGCAAGGUAGCUGAAGAGCAGGAUGGACAAGGGAUGGAUGAAAAAGAGUUGCAGGAUGCAACUGAGCUAGAGCACAAAGAUGGAUCUGGUGCAUCAGAGAAUAACAUUGCUGGAGCUCAUACUACUGCAAACCUGACAUCGUCUUUGGAAAAGGAAAGCGCUGCUGAUACAUUAUCUGAUCAUGAUAGUAUCAAUGCUGAUCUCGCCACAUCAGCAAGUGGCACUGGUCAUUCCGCAACUUCCCCAGAUGCUACAAUCCGCAUUAUCAAGGACCAAUUGAUAAGAGCAAAGACAUAAUCGUGGCAUUCUAGCUUCUAGAGGAAAUCAUGGUACCGCCAAGGAGUUACGUGCACGAACGAAAGAUAUCCAGCGAGCACUGGGUGAUGCAACCGAUGAUGGGAUGCUUCCUCAGAAGUACUUUCUCUUUCACUAUACUACAGGAGCAUAUGGUGUCGUGUCUCUCAAGCACAGUGCCCGGCUCCGGUUCGUCACAGAAGCCCACGGAAAGCAGCAAAGUUGAGCAUGCGGUGUCGCGCUUGUGAUGCACAGUGCUUGGCUCCGGUACAUCACAGAGGCCGGCAGCAAGGAACACAGCUUCCUGCCCUUGCCUCUGUAAAUCAUCAAGGAGGAAAAAUGUGCAAGAUGCUUGAAGUUUCCCCUUGAAACGAAGGUCUUGGGCCUUUGUUUGUACAUAUAUUCCCUUGAUUUGUACUGACUCUCCAAUUAAUUAUUCAGAGAGCUAUGGCCAUACAAGGAAAUCAAAAGUUUCAGUUGCAUGUAGCAAGGAAGGUCAAUUUGACACGGCGGUGCUGCCAUUUGCCCCUCCCUUCUCCCUCGAAAAUGUGGUUGACGCUCCCCAGAUCUUCAGGUUGGUGCCCUUGUUAUCUUCAGGUUGCAUGACAAGAUUUUUUCCUGUGGAACAUAUUGUGUAUCUUCCAUCGGUCAUGGUAACAAGGCGGUCUUAGAUUGCUCUGUACUAAUGAUUGUCUUGAGGGAUUAUUUCAUUCAUACUGCUCUGAAUUAAUCAUAUUCUCCUGCUACCUCAUUACGUUAGUAUGGUACAACUUUGCUGAAAAAACCAUUGUCCGUAUUUGUAGUACAGACUGUAGGAUCCACUAACAUCUAUUUACUGCUCUGGAUUAAUUUUUAGCUUCUUAUUACCUGUGGGAGUCCCAGUAUUACAAUAUAUAGCUCAUAGUGGCUCACAAAUCAUAAUAUGGUCCAUACGUACAAUAUAUGGCUCAUAAUGAACAUCUAAAGAUAUCUUUUCAAACAAUAUAGCAAAGUUGACUCCUUAGAAUUAUUAUUUUGGUAUUGUUCAAAAUUUCUGUAAUUACUGUGAUGAUAGCAGCGAUAAAGAUCAUCGGAGGUUCCUUAUUCUCGUUUUCAUAAUUUUGGAGAUUCUAUUCAAUUGAAAACAAUCAUGCCAUCAUAUAUUCAUAGUUCAUCUCUGGACUAGAAGUGAAAUGCAAAUAGACCUUUCAAAUUGACAUGGUCCAGGGACAAGCUCAUAUGGAUGAUACUGCCUGCAGAGUAAAUUCAAAUCAAAAUCACAUAUGGAUGUGUCCGAGGACAAGUUUGUCUGAUAAAAGGCAAGGAUGAAAGAGUGAGUAUAACCAUCAACUGGUCACAAUUUGCCGAAGCAGCCAAUAUUAAAGGUCAUAUUUGUGUCUUCGUCUUUGAGGAGGCUCAAAAGCACCAACACUCUGUCCAUAACCUUUUCUAAGGUCGGUAUGUGAAUUAUUGACUUCUUGCUCAUAUAUAGGUUAAAUCAAGACACUUAUUUCCGGAGGGAGGGAGUAUAUCAUAGUCGUAGUUCACUUCUAUGCCGUGUUUAAGUGUUCUUAUAGAUUAACUCAAACUAUAACUAUGGCUUGCUUUUGUUAUGUCAUACCAAAUCUCGAUGCUCUUGGUAGUUUCUGCUGCAUUUUCUGCCCAAUGCAUGUAAUGGAACUUUGUGUUUGGCUGGGAGUAUCUACUUUCUAUUACCAACCAAAUCUCUCUCUGCCUGCUUUGCAUUUCCGUUUGUGCUAUAUAUUGUCUACUACCGGUUUAGCUAAAACAGGAAAAUGUGGGGUUCUUUGCAUUUCCGUCUGUGCUAUGUAUUUUCUACUACUGGAUUCUUAUAUGCAAUUAUGUACAGUUCUCUUCCCCCCUUUAGUUUCUCACAUUUCUCCUUCAUCUUCCUGUGACUGUAUUUUUCUCUUGUGGGCAAAGAGUACUUGUCCUUCAAGUAGAUAGGUAUGAUUAUACAAUUGCUUGGUCUUCCGUGCUUAUUAAAGAUGAUCAUGGUGUUAAUUGAAAGGAUUUUCUCCUGGCUGCUUUACACUGACUUUUUUUCUAUUUAAAAAAUUGGUACGAGUACGUUGCAACAAAGACAAUGUUGGUCCAUAGAGUCCUACAUUCCUUUCCCGGUGAGUCUACAUUGUUGCAUGUCAGGUAGCAUACAUACUUCUUUUUCUUUGGCAUCCACAUUAACUUCUGCCCCAUCCAUGCUGAAAUCUAUUGAAACAUAUCCCUUACUGUAUAUUGUUCUGUUAGUGAGCCAAUUGUUUCCCAUCGGCUGAUUUUCAGUUUGAGGCUGGAAAAAUCUAUCCAUGCUAACUCCCCCUCUUACCUAUUGAAUGAAUUUAGUUAAAACAUUCAUCUAUUAUUUCAGGAACACCCCCUUGGGUAUGCAGCAGCGAUUUCCUAUGUUGAAUAUUGUUCAUUACAACAAUGAAAUCAACCUGCAGACUCAGCUUGCAAAGGUGGAGAUGGAGAGAAAGUUGUUGAUGCUCAAGCCAUGCGAUUAUGUAUGGAGCAAGAUGAACCUACCCACUUUUGUAUGGUUUAUUCUUAGGUUGUGUAUUGUGGCAUUGACACGAUUUUUUUAUUGUUGCUAAUGUUGACCAUUCAUGAAUGUUCAAUUGUUUAGAGUUGAAUUUGAGGAUAUAGCAGCGAUACAAGAAAAAAGUUGUGAUGCAUCUGUUUUA